AUUGAACGCUGGCGGCAGGCCUAACACAUGCAAGUCGAGCGAGCGGCGGACGGUUGAGUAAUGUCUGGGAAACUGCCUGAUGGAGGGGGAUAACUACUGGAAACGGUAGCUAAUACCGCAUACCAUCAGAUGUGCCCAGAUGGGCUUUGCUAGUAGGUGGGGUAACGGCUCACCUAGGUGACGAUUGCUAGCUGGUCUGAGAGGAUGACCAGCCAAAAUGGAACUGGGACACGGACCAGACUCCUAAGGGAGGGAAGAGGGGGGAAUAUUGCAACAUGGGAGAAAGGCUGAUGCGGCCAUGCCGCGUGUAGGAAGAAGGACUUCGGGUUGUAAAGGACCUUCAGAGGGGAGGCGUUAAACGAAGAAGAAGCACAGGCUAACCCCGUGCCAGCAGCCGCGGUAAUAU
RNAcentral lists this ribosomal RNA (406 nucleotides) under uncultured bacterium. RNAcentral's name for it is "partial 16S ribosomal RNA". It matches the Rfam family "Bacterial small subunit ribosomal RNA", at positions 29 to 526 of the family's 1533-position model. The record is from RNAcentral.